GCGUGUGAGGGCUCUCUGUCUAUGACACCGGUCACCCCAUUGAUCGCCAGGGAUGAUUCGACUGAUCUGGCUGACGAGGCGGGUGUAUUUUUCCUUCCUCACCACUCCAGGUGCCUCCUCCCAAAACUGCAUGCUCAACUGAAGAGCGUGACCUGCCCCACAUGCAUGCUCUGCCGUGAAAAGCGUGAACGACCCAAGGGACGAUCAUCCCUUGGCCAAGGGCAUAUGAGUAGCUGUGCUCCCCUGCCAGAACCUCCCCACACGCUCCCAAGGUCCAUAUGUAGGAGAAUGUAGGAUAGUCAAGCUUCCAAGACUCCAGACACACCAAAUGAGGCGCCACAUGUGGCAGCCUGCCUUUCUU
Molecule: unclassified non-coding RNA, 361 nt
Organism: Bison bison bison
Lineage: Eukaryota; Metazoa; Chordata; Mammalia; Artiodactyla; Bovidae
Gene: 7SK
Rfam family: 7SK RNA
About the family: 7SK was discovered as an abundant small nuclear RNA in the mid-70s but a possible function has only recently been suggested. Two independent studies have found that 7SK RNA binds the CDK9/cyclin T complex (known as elongation factor P-TEFb).
Source: Ensembl